ACUCAUUGGACUACACAAUUAACGAGCAUAAAUUUUGAAAAUAACGCGGAAUAUUUCUAACGAUAUAAAAAAUUAGAAAAAUAACUGAAUAACCGUUAUUGGUAGUGAAUGUAAAAUUUUAAAGUUAAAAACGUAUGCGGGUGGCUUUAAAUGUUUAGGAAAAUAAAAUUUAAAUAUUUCAUUUUUCAUAUGUUCACGAUAUUGCAGCAUUUGAAAUCUACAAAUAAAAGACAACAGCUGUUAAAUUGGCGUUUAUACAACUGAACCUAACGCUCGAUCCUAGCUGUCUAUAAAAACCAAAAGUGAUCAUUGGUUUUGCGGUUUACUCCCCCCAAAACCGAAGCAAAUUUGUAGACAAAACCCUUAAGGAUGAAUGCAAAAAAAACCUCUCAAAUAAACCUGGAAAUAUUUUCAAUACAUAUGGAGAGAGUAGAACCCUUUCCCUUAUUUAACUAUAUAUUUAUAUGUAUUUUAUCCAAUAUGACUAAUUGUAAGUUGGAAAAACACUAGCCAGUUGGAAUUUAUUGAUACAUUCACACACAUAGGCAGUUCUCUAGCAUGCUGUUUAAGUUUAGCCAACAACAGUGUCAUGUGUCAAAUCAUCAUGAUCAUCGCUGUCACGAACGGAGCUAGAAACGAAAGAGUUGACAUUUAUGGCUCAUAAACACUGUAAACGCCUACGAAAUGAAAACAAAAUCUCUUACGAAAGAAAAAACACACAUUCACUCACUCAUUCGCACUCGACAGAAAACACACAUGGCUCUGGUCUCAUAAAUAAAUUCCAAUGAAAGUGAUCAUUAUUUGGACGAUCCUCACAUUAUUCCAAUACAUGUGGGAUUUCAAAAAGACAGAAAUUAAAAAUAAAAACUAUACACUCACUAAAAGUUAAAAAAAAAACAAAAAUUUUAAAACCGUAAACUCAACCGUCAAACGCCCCUUUAAUCAGUACACUCUUGAUAAUACACACAAAUAUACUGGAAAGCGUUUCAAAAGUGUGAUCAAUUUAUCUAUCGAUUAUGAGUGUCUUUUGUAUGAUCACCACUAGUAAUCAUUGCCAUAAAAAUUGAUCUCUUUAUUAUAUUCCCAUUCUAUGUGUGCGGCAUUGUAUGCAUGUUUUUUCUUCUGCAAAAUUUCUGUCAUAUUUGUUGUGAUUAUGAUAAAAAUCCCAGAAGAUCUAUUUUGACUUUUUUCAAAUUCGAAAUAUGUUUUGAAAUUUAUAUGUUGUAAGUAGCGAUUCAAAUACGGAAAAAGUUUUAAAUCUUCCACUCUUAAGAGAGAUGAAUUAAAAAAAUUGAAUUAAAACCAUUAACUCAAAAAUUUAAAGAUGACAAUAAGACCUUUUUAUGCAGAAAAUCCAUUGUGAAAAGUUUUCUGUCUCUCUAUAUGCCUAAAUACAACAUAAUUGCCAAAUAAAAAUGUAAUUUGGAAAAAAGGAAGAGAAAAAAGAGAAAGUGUGGCAGCCAAAUCAUUUAUGAUCGAUCCAUCAUUCAACAAUAACAACUUCACUUAAGUGUGGAAAACAAAUAAAUCACAAAAAAACAACCAAACAAAACCAUAAAAUCCUAAAAAUGCUAAUAAAUAUUAGAAUACAAACAACAACAAAAUGCUUUAAUUGAGUUAAAAACAAUUAGAAGAACGAAAGAGACAGGAAGAGAACCUUAGAAUGAAAGCAAUUUAUAAAAAAAACAACAACAAUAAUAAACUUGUUUAUAUUUUAACAUCCUGACAAAUAACAUUGUAUGAUAACAGGUAACAAUUGCCAGAUGGAUGUACAAAGUAUGACUACAACGAUCGUUCUUCAGCCAACAGAAACAAAGAAAAAUACAAAUAUCAAGUGCGAAAAAUGUUUGACUCAAAUUUCAAGUGGAAUGGAUGGGUUUUGAAGAACAAAUGAAUGAAAUAAAUACUUAUGGAUGUAUAAUGAACGGGCAGAAUGUUUAGUUUAUGAAAUUAUUAAAAAUUAAAAAAAAACUGAAAAUAUUUGUAAUAAAAAAGAAUUGAAAAUAAAAUUGAAAGUGUGUUUUGAGAAAAAAGAAACACAAACAAAAUGCAAUUGUA
This 2058-nucleotide long non-coding RNA is filed under the name Lucilia cuprina (Australian sheep blowfly). RNAcentral describes it as "uncharacterized LOC124419661". The record is from RNAcentral. Lineage: Eukaryota; Metazoa; Arthropoda; Insecta; Diptera; Calliphoridae.